This 3047-nucleotide long non-coding RNA is filed under the name Homo sapiens (human). Its description in RNAcentral is "non-protein coding lnc-SPRY1-11:10". Lineage: Eukaryota; Metazoa; Chordata; Mammalia; Primates; Hominidae. The record is from RNAcentral.
UUUUUUUGAGACGGAGUCUUGUUCUGUUGCCCAGGCUGGAGUUCAGUGGUGUGACGUCAGCUUAUUGCAACCUCCGGCUCCCUGGUUCAAGCCAUCACAGGCCUCAGACUCCUGAGUAGCUGGGACUACGGGCACGCACCACCACACCCGGCUAAUUUUUCUUAUUUUUGUAUUUUUAGCAGAGACGAGGUUUUGCCAUAUUGGCUAGGCUCUUCUUGAACUCCAGACCUCAGGUGAUCUGCCCGCCUAGGCCUCCCAAAGUGCUGGGAUUACAGACGUGAGCCACCGCGCCCAGCCUGGAAUUCAACUGGAGUGUACCACAAUCUGUUUAACAAGUCCCAUGUUGUCAGAUAACUAUGUUGCUUCCCAUUUUUUACUCUUACAAACAAUGUCCUUAUAGCUAAAUCUUUACAUACAAACUCCAUGAUGGCUUCUUUACGAUUAAUUCUUAGAAGUGAAAUUGCUGAGUCAAGACUAUUAUUUUGAAGGCUUUUAAUGAGUAUUGCCAAAUUGCCCUUCUUACAUGUGCUAUUUUACAGACCUACUGACCAUAUAUGAGAAUACUCAUUUUGCAAACAGUGGGUUUGCAACAACAAAACAAAUUCCCAAACUCUGUCAACUUGACAAGUUAAUGAGACUUCCUUAUAUUCUACAGUCUGAGGCACACCACAGUGAAAUCUCUCUGGUCAAUUUAGUAUUGUGCCAUGAGAAUAUGUUCUGAGCAGCAGCUCUUGAUGUUUACAUAAACCAUUACUUAAGCCCUCAACACCAUCAAAUAUUUAUUUAACAUCCACUGUGGGUUAAGAAUCGCAACCCAGGGCCCCAAAGCAACUUACAAGCUAAAGGAAGGAGUGGAGGCACAGUUCCUUGUCUUUGCCUUGGGAAUAUUUUUAGUAAGUUGCUUCUUUUCCUUUUCUCUCUAGAGCUUUAUAAAACCAAAUUAUGGGAAAAUUAUCAUGCAAUUUAAAAAAUUAAACAUUUUACAUUGUAGAAUAUAAAAUACUUUCAUAAAAGAACAUAAUACGUAUAUAUUUACAUUAAAGAAGAAAACAUUAAUGGUCAGGCGUGGUGGCUCACGCCUGUAAUCCCAGCACUUUGGGAAGCUGAUAAUCCCUGCCACUCGGGAGGCUGAGGGAGAAUAAUCGCUUGAACCCAGGAUGCAGAGGUUGCAGUGAGCUAAGAUCGCGCCAUUGCACUCCAGCCUGGGUGACAGUGCAAGACACCAUCUCAAAAAAAAAAAAAAAAAAGAAAAAAGAAAAAAAAAAGGCUUAAAAAAAUUGGACUUCUAUGGGACCACCAUCCAACUUAAGAAAUAGAACAUUGCCAACACCUGAAAAUCUCCACCCUUUCCCACCUAUCCUUAUGGAAUUUCAAUCUUGUUCUUGCCACAGAACGGUAACCAUCAUUAUAACUCGAAGAUGAUCAUUUCCUUCCUUUUCCCUCUUGUUCUACCAUUGUUUAGUUUUGCCUGCUUUUACAUUUUAUAUCAAUGAAAUCACAAUGAAUUAUUCUUCUGAUUUGCUGUUUUUGCUCAAUGUUGUGUAAGAUUCAUCCAUUUGGUUGCAGGUAGCUGUAUAACAUUUCACAAGAUGAAUGUACCACAAAUUUUAAUCCUUCUAUUGUUGAUGGAUUUGGAUUAUUACCAACUUUUGGCCUUUGAGCCAGUCUAGGAUUCACGAUGUAACCAUGGAGCAGAUGCUUUGAGGUAAUAAACUUCAAAUUAGAUGCAUAAAUAAAUCUAAUCUUUUAAAGAUAUUAGUUCCUUUGUGACAGAUAUUUCCCCUCCAGUGCUUUCAGCUUUGAUGACUGAAUGGUAGUUUCAUUGUGAGAAUCCUAUUAUCUUGAAUCCUUGUCAGUGAUAGCUGUUUAAUGAGGGUUUUUUCUCUCCUCCUACCUGGCACUGUGUGUGCAAGUCAUCUCACUCAGGAAACACCCACGUGGUGGGGAUGGCCUUCACGGCAACUGUUGUGCUCUUUAUUCUUGCCACACUUGCUGUUCUCAGUGAAAAACUGAGAGUUCCUGGAAAAUGUAUGGGUUCAGAAAUGGGAUGGUCAUGAGGUUAAAGGACUUGGCCUGGGAAGGAAAAGAAGAAAUAUCAUGUUUUAAAAUAUCAUCUCUAACCAAAGUAGAGAUGGAUUGAGAUUAUAACCACUGUGAAGGGUACAGAUUAAACAAUUUUGGACAUGGGUUGAUGGUUUGUGAGAGGUUGGGUACUGGGUAGGGCAGGUACAUUACGUCAUUAUCUUUAAUUUUGUGUAUGUUUAAAAAUUUCCACAAUAAGAAGUAAAAAGGGAGUUAACUAAGACAGUAAAUUAAAAAUGUUAACUCCAUUUCUAGUACAAAAUGGACUUAAUAAGUGUUAUCUGCUCACCUUCCCUUCCAUCUAGGUGAAUGACAUUUCCAGCAUUGAAGGACAGCAUAGACACGGAAAUACAUUUUAUGGCGUGCCAGUGGGUGUGGUGGGUCUCAGGGAUGCAAGGUGGGUGAGACUCCCUGUCUGUUCCUGAGGAGCUCUGGUGAGUGGGAAGGAGAAGGGAACACUCGAAGAGCAUGGCAGCCUUAAAGAGGCAGUGGGCUGAGGAGGCUCGCUCUGUGUUCAGAAAUUGGAACAGGGUUGUAGAAAGGAUGCUGUGUGGCUGUUAAAGUAAACUCCACCCAUUUUAGAAUUUUCCUUGGAAGCGGCCUCAAUGUCUAGAAAAGAGUGGGAAAAAUCUUUCCCCUUUUCAAAUUUGUUCUUUUUUGAGCCAUGCAACUUUAAUUCUAAGAAUAAAACAUUCAUGCUUCUAGUUGUAGUUUCCUUGGACAGCUAAACUGUGGAUAAAAUAGGAAUUUGGGUGCUAACCCCAAAAUCUAAAUGCUACUGAAGGGGCUGUUAUCUCUGCAUGAAUUCCUCAUAAAACCGAAAAGCUACCCAAUAGGUGCUGAAAACAGGUCAAAUACCAUAUUAGAUGUCACAUUGGGUAGCACACACACAUGGGAAAGCACAAAGACUGGCUUAGAGUGCCAAAGUAAGAAAUGGAUCACACUGGCUGGGCGCGGUGGCUCAC